RNAcentral lists this transfer RNA (57 nucleotides) under Dipetalonema gracile. RNAcentral's name for it is "tRNA-Gly". Lineage: Eukaryota; Metazoa; Nematoda; Chromadorea; Rhabditida; Onchocercidae. The record is from RNAcentral.
GGCUUUUUAGUAUUAUUUUUGGUAUAUUUGUUUUCCAAACAAGUGGUUUUUAAGCUU